UGGGGAAUAUUGGACAAUGGGCGCAAGCCUGAUCCAGCAAUGCCGCGUGUGUGAAGAAGGCCUUCGGGUUGUAAAGCACUUUUAUCAGGAGCGAAACGCUGUCGGCUAAUACCCGGCGGAACUGACGGUACCUGAGGAAUAAGCACCGGCUAACUUCGUGCCAGCAGCCGCGGUAAUACGAAGGGUGCAAGCGUUAAUCGGAGUUACUGGGCGUAAAGCGUGCGUAGGCGGUUUCUUAAGUCUGCUGUGAAAUCCCCGGGCUCAACCUGGGAAUGGCAGUGGAUACUGGGAGGCUAGAGUGUGUCAGAGGGUGGUGGAAUUCCCGGUGUAGCGGUGAAAUGCGUAGAGAUCGGGAGGAACAUCAGUGGCGAAGGCGGCCACCUGGGACAACACUGACGCUGAGGCACGAAAGCGUGGGGAGCAAACAGGAUUAGAUACCCUGGUAGUCCACGCCCUAAACGAUGCGAACUGGAUGUUGGUCUCAACUCGGAGAUCAGUGUCGAAGCUAACGCGUUAAGUUCGCCGCCUGGGGGAGUACGGUCGCAAGACUGAAACUCAAAUGAAUUGACGGGGUCAUAGCUGUUUCCUG
This 589-nucleotide ribosomal RNA is filed under the name uncultured bacterium. Its description in RNAcentral is "partial 16S ribosomal RNA". It matches the Rfam family "Bacterial small subunit ribosomal RNA", at positions 355 to 1376 of the family's 1533-position model. The record is from RNAcentral.